GUGAUUAUAAUAUAUAUUGUAUUUAGGUGUGUAGGUACUAUUUAAAUAAAAUGCAAUGAGUAAUAAUAUCGUAUGUCAGCUUUAUAUUAUGUACGUUUACUCUCUUGAUAUCACGUCUACAUAGGUUUUUUUUAGAAUAAUAGCACUUAGUAACUAGAUUAGUAUGUACUUAAUAGGUACAUAUAACUAUCUACAUACCAAUCUCUUGUUUUGGAUAAGGGAAUGAAACCUGAGCUUGAAAGCCUGUGGAUUAGUGCCUAAUCCACUUUGCUAGAAGAUUGCAUUGUGGUGUUCCUGCAUUAAGACUACAUUCUACAGAAUAAGCUCCCAUAAGCUGUCAGUGCAGUAACACUCCUGUAUAAUUUUGUAAUAAUAUAAAAAUUUAAAAUUAAAUAAAUUGUUUUUUAUAGCUAGAACCAGCAAGAAACUCGACGGUUGCUCAUUUCAAAGAUUUGAUAUACUGAAUGAGUUAUUGGUUAGGUUAGAGAGCUGUGGCAGGCAUGCCAGUCUUCAUUGUUAUUUUUUUAUAACCACUUCUUGAAUGACCUUCCCCUUUUCUCCUCACCCUAUCGAGGGUAAAAGUUUUACCAAUAUCAAUUUUAUCAAAAUUAAAAAAUUCAAUAAAAUAAUCCAUCUGGGAAGGAGAGGGAUUGACUUACCCUCCUCUCCCUCUUGCCCAUCCCACCCCCACUUACGUCCUAUCGAGGCGGCAUGUUUCAAAAUAUUGAGCCAUACAAAUAAACAAAAU
This is a long non-coding RNA of Maniola jurtina (meadow brown), 748 nucleotides long. RefSeq lists it as uncharacterized. NCBI's taxonomy places the organism in Eukaryota, Metazoa, Arthropoda, Insecta, Lepidoptera, Nymphalidae. The transcript is spliced from 2 exons. The record is from RefSeq and is a predicted model, not a curated record.